This 488-nucleotide ribosomal RNA is filed under the name uncultured bacterium. RNAcentral's name for it is "bacterial SSU rRNA". It matches the Rfam family "Bacterial small subunit ribosomal RNA", at positions 28 to 511 of the family's 1533-position model. The record is from RNAcentral.
GAUGAACGCUAGCGGCAGGCUUAACACAUGCAAGUCGAGGGGCAGCAGGGGUAGCAAUACUCGCUGGCGACCGGCAAACGGGUGCGGAACACGUACAGAAUCUACCUUUAUCUGGGGAAUAGCCCGAAGAAAUUCGGAUUAAUACCCCAUAACAUAUUAGAGUGGCAUCACUCAGAUAUUAAAACUCCGGUGGAUAGAGAUGACUGUGCGUCCCAUUAGCUAGUUGGUAGGGUAACGGCCUACCAAGGCGACGAUGGGUAGCUGGUGUGAGAGCACGACCAGCCACACGGGCACUGAGACACGGGCCCGACUCCUACGGGAGGCAGCAGUGAGGAAUAUUGGGCAAUGGACGCAAGUCUGACCCAGCCAUGCCGCGUGAAGGAUGAAGGCGUUCUGCGUUGUAAACUUCUUUUAUUGGGGAAGAAACCUCCGUUUUNUAAUGGAGCCGACGGUACCCAACGAAUAAGCACCGGCUAACUCCGUGCCAG